GUCGCCGCACGGCGCACCCGGCCGGCGAUAGGCCUCAAAGACGGCGCGCCUCGCCGCGAGCGGGUGCUGAGUGGCCUCGGCCAGGGUGCGCGACGUCCCAUACAGGGCCGCCAGAUCGCGCGCCGACAGGCCACGCGACAAUGCAAUGGCCUGGACGACUUCAACGGGCAGGGUCUCCAACAGGGACAAUUGAGCCGGUGGCGUCUCGCCAUCGCCACCGAUGUCGCCACCCGUUUCUCCCUCUUCUUCUUCUCCUCCUUGUUCUUGGUCGGCGUCUAAAUGUGACGACCCGUCAGCGGGAGGCGGCGAUUGAGCGUCGUAGAGGCUGGACACGCGGGCCAGGGCACGCGCCACAUGAUCCAUGUAGUCGGCCAACGCGUCGUGGUCCUCCACGUCAUAGCGAGGGCGCGCGGCCAUGUCGGACGCCCUCUCCAGAUCGCGCGCCAAGGCCUCGCGCUCGGUGAUGCGCGACAGGCCGGCGCGCGCCAGGUUGUACGCCGCCGGCGUGCCAUAGAGCCGCCGCCAGCCUUUGCCCAGGUCGUAGUAUUGCAAGUCGGCCUGCGACAAGGCGUCGCCAAUGUCCACCAGGGGCCUGCCGACACCCUGCACACGCUCAUCGGGUCUGUAGCCGGCAGCGAGCAGGGGCACCAGGUUGGCCUCGACGGCACGACCGAGCGCAGCGCCCAGUUCAGGCGCCAAGGCCACGCCGCGCAACGUGGCGAGCCGCGCGACCGACAGUGGGUUCGAGUCGAGCGGGUCCAAUCGCGGCGAGCGCCCGAAUCGAUGCAAGAGCACGCGAGCCGUGCGCGCGGCGUCGAUGCGACGGGGCGCGCCGCGCGGGUACUCGUAAUCGACCGCCGUGCUCAGCGCCAGGGCCUGAUUGAGCAGGGCCUCGCGUGUCGGCCACGGCAGCGCGCCGGCGUCGAUCAAGGCCUCGACCGACGCCGGUGCGCCCGACGCCACGGCCAUCUGCAGGAGCGUGGAAACGACGGGCCUGCGCACCGUGGCCGGCACGAGCAGGUCCAGCGUGGGCGCCUCAGCGGCCUCCUCAUCCAUUGCAGCCCCAAUGGUGCCCAUGGGGGGACCUCCACCGUAUUCGUCCACGACGGGCCGACGUCGUCCCAAUAGACGCGCCGUGGUAUCCGCGUUAAAGCCCAUGUAUCGGAUGCGGUCGCUGUCGAUCAAGUCGUUGACAUCGACGCGUCCCUGAGCGAGAAUGCGUCGAAUCGCAGCAACGUCCUGCCGCGCGAUGGCAUCCAAAACUGCGUCGGUGUCUUCCUUGCGACCUGGCGGGCAGUCGGCGCCGGCGCCUUCCGGUGGGCCUCUGACGGCGAAUGCCUGCAACGCCGACGGCAGGGGCAUUGUCGACAGUUGCUCCUCCCCCUCUUGUUGCCGUUGCUGUUGCCGUGAUCGGGGCGGCGCGGUUUGUACAGUCAAAGAUUGCGCGGCCGCUGCGUGCGGGAAGGGAAACCCCGAUGCCUCCUCGUCCGCUUCUUGUGGGCGCUCCAUGUUGCUUGGAAUAGUGCGGAAAACGGACACUGGCUUGUCCUGUGGCGCGGCGAAUCGUGGACGCACGGGUACGACUCGACCGGCUAGCGCAAACCAAGGAGCGCUCGGCGUGCUGUGGUCGCCGUGCGAUCGGUGCGUGCGCUGUCCACCACCGAAAGAAGAGACCACCUUUUGUGAUGAAAAUGAACACGAACCCGCAGAAUUUAUGUGCGGAUUCUAAAGUGCGCUUGAAUGAGGGUUGGCCCAAACAGGGCACGGCCCGCGCCUAUUUUUCUUGGGCACAGCCCGACCCAUACAAGGAAAAACAACAGCACCAACGACAGAGAGGGGCAACAAAAAAGGCUG
Molecule: long non-coding RNA, 1854 nt
Filed under: Pandoravirus neocaledonia
Description: hypothetical ncRNA
Source: RNAcentral